ACGGGUGAGUAAUACAUCGGAACGUGCCCAGUAGUGGGGGAUAGCCCGGCGAAAGCCGGAUUAAUACCGCAUACGACCUACGGGUGAAAGCGGGGGAUCGCAAGACCUCGCGCUAUUGGAGCGGCCGAUGUCAGAUUAGCUUGUUGGUGGGGUAAAAGCCUACCAAGGCGACGAUCUGUAGCUGGUCUGAGAGGACGACCAGCCACACUGGGACUGAGACACGGCCCAGACUCCUACGGGAGGCAGCAGUGGGGAAUUUUGGACAAUGGGCGCAAGCCUGAUCCAGCCAUGCCGCGUGCGGGAAGAAGGCCUUCGGGUUGUAAACCGCUUUUGUCAGGGAAGAAACGGCUCUUACUAAUAUUAGGAGCUAAUGACGGUACCUGAAGAAUAAGCACCGGCUAACUACGUGCCAGCAGCCGCGGUAAUACGUAGGGUGCAAGCGUUAAUCGGAAUUACUGGGCGUAAAGCGUGCGCAGGCGGCUUUGCAAGACAGAUGUGAAAUCCCCGGGCUCAACCUGGGAACUGCAUUUGUGACUGCAUGGCUAGAGUACGGUAGAGGGGGAUGGAAUUCCGCGUGUAGCA
This 582-nucleotide ribosomal RNA is filed under the name Proteobacteria bacterium BvIRR177. RNAcentral's name for it is "bacterial SSU rRNA". It matches the Rfam family "Bacterial small subunit ribosomal RNA", at positions 102 to 680 of the family's 1533-position model. Lineage: Bacteria; Pseudomonadati; Pseudomonadota. The record is from RNAcentral.